Molecule: ribosomal RNA, 252 nt
Filed under: uncultured bacterium
Lineage: Bacteria
Description: partial 16S ribosomal RNA
Rfam family: Bacterial small subunit ribosomal RNA
Source: RNAcentral
GCAAGUCGAGCGGUAGCACGGGAGAGCUUGCUCUCUGGGUGACGAGCGGCGGACGGGUGAGUAAUGUCUGGGAAACUGCCUGAUGGAGGGGGAUAACUACUGGAAACGGUAGCUAAUACCGCAUGAUGUCGCAAGACCAAAGUGGGGGACCUUCGGGCCUCACGCCAUCGGAUGUGCCCAGAUGGGAUUAGCUAGUAGGUGGGGUAAUGGCUCACCUAGGCGACGAUCCCUAGCUGGUCUGAGAGGAUGACC